CAUAAUCUCUGAGGAGAAAAGCAGGGGAUCGCAAGACCUUGCGCUUUUGGAGCGGCCGAUGUCUGAUUAGCUUGUUGGUAAGGUAAAAGCUUACCAAGGCUUCGAUCAGUAGCUGGUCUGAGAGGACGACCAGCCACACUGGGACUGAGACACGGCCCAGACUCCUACGGGAGGCAGCAGUGGGGAAUUUUGGACAAUGGGGGCAACCCUGAUCCAGCCAUGCCGCGUGAGUGAAGAAGGCCUUCGGGUUGUAAAGCUCUUUCAGCCGGAACGAAACGGUUACGGUUAAUACCCGUGACUACUGACGGUACCGGAAGAAGAAG
This 323-nucleotide ribosomal RNA is filed under the name uncultured beta proteobacterium. RNAcentral describes it as "bacterial SSU rRNA". It matches the Rfam family "Bacterial small subunit ribosomal RNA", at positions 172 to 490 of the family's 1533-position model. The record is from RNAcentral. Lineage: Bacteria; Pseudomonadati; Pseudomonadota; Betaproteobacteria.